Balaenoptera musculus (blue whale) is the source of this 259-nucleotide long non-coding RNA. RefSeq lists it as uncharacterized. The transcript has 3 exons. Lineage: Eukaryota; Metazoa; Chordata; Mammalia; Artiodactyla; Balaenopteridae. The record is from RefSeq and is a predicted model, not a curated record.
GAGGGUGAGCCAAGAGGGACGUGGCGCUCUGCGGCGCGGGCUGAGAAGCCGCGCCCCUUCCUUCUCUGGCUUUCAUGGAGAGUCCUGUGGAGCAGGAUUUGGGUGGGUGAGGUGCUUACCCGGGACGCGGACAAAAACCCAGGAUCCCACAGGACAUCACCUGGCCAAGUUCUUCAUUGUAUUCAGAAUGGGGGAGAGGGAGGCAGGAGUACUUACAAGAGACAGGAUGUCCCUGGCAGUCCAGUGGUUAAGACCUCGC